AGAGUUUGAUCMUGGCUCAGAAUGAACGCUGGCGGCGUGCUUAACACAUGCAAGUCGAACGAGAAAGCUUUAGCUUGCUAGAGUGAGUAAAGUGGCGCACGGGUGAGUAACGCGUGGGUAAUCUACCCUUGAAUUUGGGAUAACACUUCGAAAGGGGUGCUAAUACCGGAUAACAUUUUUUUUGUUGCGGCAAAAGAGAUCAAAGACAGCCUCUACAUGUAAGCUGUUGUUUGAGGAUGAGCCCGCGUACCAUUAGCUUGUUGGUGGGGUAAAGGCCUACCAAGGCGACGAUGGUUAGCUGGUCUGAGAGGAUGAUCAGCCACACUGGAACUGGAACACGGUCCAGACUCCUACGGGAGGCAGCAGUGAGGAAUUUUGCGCAAUGGGGGAAACCCUGACGCAGCAACGCCGCGUGAGUGAUGAAGGAUUUCGGUUCGUAAAGCUCUGUCAAGUGGGAAGAAGUUAUCAUAUAUUAAUAGUAUAUGGUAUUGACGGUACCACUGAAGGAAGCACCGGCUAACUCCGUGCCAGCAGCCGCGGUAAUA
This 545-nucleotide ribosomal RNA is filed under the name uncultured bacterium. RNAcentral's name for it is "bacterial SSU rRNA". It matches the Rfam family "Bacterial small subunit ribosomal RNA", at positions 8 to 525 of the family's 1533-position model. The record is from RNAcentral.